GGACACGUGACCGACGGCGCGCGCUGAUGACGCGGGGAUCAGGUGAGGGCGGGGAGGGGCCCGGCCCGGGUUUUAAGGAAAAAGGCUAAAAAUCAAAAGGGUUUUAAAUGUUAAACCAAAUGACUCGAAACCUGUCCUGAGGGAGCAGCCAGUGGCGCUCAGGAUCUGCCAGACAGUGUUUAUUUCAGCUGCUGGAGCUGAUCCUGUCUGUGUGACAAACACAGCACAGAAAUGCUUUCAAUCCCACCAAUAUUUGUAUUGAUGUUGGUUUUACCACCUGGACAUCCCUGUCAACAAGGUGAAUAUUUUUUUCCCCUGAGCAGUUUCACACAGGUCCUGAAAUAAGCAGCAUUCCUGGGAUGUGGAAUUGUGUCUUCUGAAGCAGCAGCUGCUACUCAGGAAUGAAAUUCCAAAGCCAAUCCCCCAGGCCCCAAAGGUUGGAGUUUGUUCUCUGGAGUAAUGCACAAACGUGGAACAGAGGGCACCAGGUGCAGAAGCUGCCUCCUCCCAACCCCAAACUACAGCCAUGCAGGAAGGAAUUUCAGAGGUUUAUAUAUAUUUACAUAUGUAUUUAUAGAGGUUUGUAUGGCAGUCUCAUAGCUACAGCAGCUCACUCUCUCCCCCUCCAUCAGUUGAAAAUCCUGGCUGUGCUAUCACCUUGCUGCUGAUGAACAUAUUUCCCUGUGCUUCAGUAGUUUCCAGAGCAAACAUCUUGUUUAGCAUGGCAGUAGUGCACCCAGAAACCUCCUGAAGUGUGGUUUUCAUUUCAAAAUGCCCUGUGUUGCUACAGGAGCUAUCAGUUAACCCAGGAACACGUCUAAGUACCCCAUUUAUCUUCUUUUUAAUGAAAUGGGAUUGAGAAACUGCUCCCUGGAAAUGCCAAUGCAAACUUCUUCAUACAGUAAUUAAAGUAUUUGUGUAAUGGGAUAAAAUCCUCACAGAGACCAAGCUGAUCCAGCCCAGUAUCCUGUUUCCAGAAGGCAUGAGAAGCUCAGCCCUUUCACUGGGUGUUCUCCCAGAUUCCAGUUAUCCAUGAUUUAAGGACUUGGAAGAUGAGGAUGACUCCAAACCAUUUCAUUAAGCACAUGUGGGAAGACCUACACCUCAGGAACAGAAUCCCUUUUAGACCCCUCUUAAUAUUUUGGACUUCAUAGUGUCCUACUUUAGGGAGUCUUUACUUUGCUUUUUGUAUUUGUUGCAUAAUGGUUAUUUCUAGAUAGAAAGGGAGCUACGACACUGGCACAAAGACAUUUAUUUCCAUGUUCCAGUGCAAUACUGACACCUCAUUAAAAGACACAGCACAGCAAUGACAUGAAUCAGCCCCACAAAGACCAUCUCUCAUCUUGGAACCAGUCUUUCUAACCCAAAACAGAAUCAAAGCAACUAUUUAAUAAAUAGACAUAAGAAUAAAGCUGAAAACUGAAAACCACAGGGUUAUCACCCACAAUUCAUUCCAGCAGGAGACUUUGCUUGUGUCAGAUCCUUAGUGCUUUCAGAACCCCUCAAAUUGUUAGGAACAGAAUAUAAAAGAUAAAUUGACAUUCAGUUAAAGAGGAACACAUUCAUUUCCAAACUGAGCCUCUGGUCAUUUCAUUAUACAGGACAGGAGCUACUUUAUUCUAAGAGAUUUUAAGGAAAGUGAAGUCAAGACCUACACUGUACCCUGAGCAGUGUAAUUCAAGUAAUACCAAAGUAGAAUUCCUCACAUUUAUUGUUCACUGCUGAAGUUGGAUGAUUCAUCACAUUUAAAUUCUUUCACAUGAGCUUCCUAACUUCCUUCUUUUAUCUGAUAUCAUCAUAUCUGAAAAGCAUUCAUUUUUGUCCAAAAAAGAAACUGAAUUAUGCUGUGUGGUACCUAACAUGCAAUAAAACAUGCAGAAAACAUGAAGUUAAAAAAAAAAAGGAACAGUCAAUCAUACCAAGAAGCUGAAGCAUUUUUACUACAGAAAAAUAGCAUCUCUAACAAUAUAUUUGUUUCAUGUUUCCUAUUUUUACUUUCUCCCCCUCACCAUCUGCCUCUGUUCUGCUUUUUUCUUUCAAAAAGCAUCCACCUCAUUUCGCUUCACUCACCUCAUCACAGGAUUCAGGCUGAAAUAAAACACAAUCCCCAGUGCCAAAGCCAAAAAAGCACUACCUCUUCAUAAAAGACCUUCCAAAAAUAACUCUCCUUUUUCUUACAGUAGCUGUAGAUCUUUAAGAGAAGCAGUCCAUCUCGAUUCAGUGCUUUGCUGCAAACCCUCUGGGCAAAGAAAUUUGAGCUUUUUGGCCCCUGGUAGCUCUGGAUUGUACCUGUGCCUUCAGUCCUGUUUUUUUUUGGCAAAUCUUCCCCUGUACUUUUGGUAGCCAGCACUGAAUCCCACAAGAGUGAGAUCCCGUAGUGUGGAGAAAGAAGAUGAAUUACAGAAUGUGCAGUACUUGAGCAAGAACUACUCCUUCCAUCAUGGAAGCACCUCAGUAAUGCCCAGGGGGAUUUGCUGUUCUGUGGAGCAGAGUCCCACUGCUUUGCUUAAGACACCCUGCAUGAAAAUAAAACCAUUUUGGGGAGACAAUCCUCAGAAGGAAAUGGUGAGAAAUAGAGACUGUCCAUCUUAGACAUGCGUGCCAUGCAGUGGCCAGGAGAGCCUGGCAGUGCCAGAACCUGCACUGUGCUGUGUGCAGAGGAAACGAAGGAUAAUGAGGAAAAAAUGGAAUAUAAAAAGGUACCAACCUAUGGCAGCACCAUAAUCUGAGUCUGGAGGCAAGUCCCUGCAGGGCCAGAGAGGUCAGAACAAACACUCUGAUUUGUGAGUCAAUCCUCUGCAGCAGCCUUAGUGAAUUUGUUACUGCAGUCAGUGCACGGACUAAGGAAAACUGGGCUCAGCCAGGGCAGAGCCCUGAGCCUCGGGAUGUCCUGGGGGGAACCUGUUCUGUGCAGUGCAACGAGGAGCUGAGCCAGGUCAGACACCCUGCCAAGGCACCCGGUGCCCAUCCUCGUGCCUUCCAGGCCUGCGGGACCUUGGCACGGGAGCAGCAGUAAGGAGUAAAGGACCUGCUGAUAUCCUGGCCGUGUCUCUGGGGGUCCUGGGAGCUGCUGGGGUGCCAGAGGGGGCUCCCAGAAUCACAGAAUCAGUUACACUGGAAAAGCCCCUGAGACAAUCGCGUCCAGCCUGUGACCAAACCCCGCCUUGUCAACCAAACCAUGGCACUGACUGCAAUGUCCAGCGGUUUCUGGAACCUCCAGGGAUGGUGACUCCUCCCUGGGCAGCCCAUUCUGAUGUUUAAUCACUCUUUUAAUGAAGAAAAUCUUCCUGAUGUGCAUCCUAAACCUCCCCCAGUGCCGCUCCCGGUUCCUCCUGCCACAACUGACCCUGCCCUGUCAGGGGAGCGUGCUCACCCCUAAGCUUCCCCUUCCAGGCUUGGAGUGAUGAGAGGGAGAAAAAAAUAUGGAACGCUUCACGAAUUUGCGUGUCAUCCUUGCGCAGGGGCCAUGCUAAUCUUCUCUGUAUCGUUCCAAUUUUAGUAUAUGUGCUGCCGAAGCGAGCACGAAUCUCCUUUUCCACCCGUCGCAAUUUGUACCCAGAGGAUGCGAGUUCCGCAAGGUCAGGGUGACCCGGGAGGGACAAUCCGGCGGUGCCGGUGGGAGGAGCAGGAGCCGUGCACAGCAGCCCGGCCGUACCGAGGGUCUGGCGGGGAGGAGACGGCGGAAAAGGGGGGAACAGACCCCAAAUCCGGCCGAACUCGGGUUAUGCAAAUAGCGCUGCUGUAUGCAAAUGAGCGCAAAGCACUCUGGGACGGGGCGGUACCGGAGCUCCCCACGGGGCCGGUUUGUAUCAACAACCCCGGCGGGUUUCAGAGUCCCGUUCGGCCGUGCGCAGCUGGGAAUGUCACACCUUUCUGUGGUGAAACAUCGGUGGUUUGGGCUUCCAGUAGUUAAUAUUGCUGACCUGGGGCGGUAUGCGGGUGGCUGGAGCCAUUUGUCGCCUCACGGAAUCGCAGAAUCGAUGGGGUUGGAAGGCCCGGCUGGAGAUGACAGCCCCGUGCCGAGGCAGGGUCCCCUGGAGCGGGUGACACAGGGACCCACACCGGUGCAUUGGAAUGGCUGCAGCGCGGGAGACUCCACCGCUGCCUGCACAGCCGUUCCACUGCUCUGCCACCCUCAGUGCGAAGAGAUUCCUCCUCCUGCUGAAGCGAAGCUUCUUGUGUUUCAGUUUAUGACCAUUGCUCCUUACAUAUGUGGAGUGCAUGUCCGGAGGAGGCGGCUGUGGCCAUGGGGCUGCGGGGACGGGCGGGGAGCGAGGCCUGUGAGGCGCUUCUAAGGCGGGGCAGGAGUAACGCUUUACAAGUGCAGCAGAGUGGCGCAGCGGAAGCGUGCUGGGCCCAUAACCCAGAGGUCGAUGGAUCGAAACCAUCCUCUGCUAGCUGAUAUUUUUCUUCUCUCUGCUGGUUGUUUUUGGGUGUGGGGGACACUGGUGUGACUGGUGCGAGCACACUUGUUUUUGCUAAAAUCUUGGCUCAGUGCAGUACAGCUGGUGCGAGGGAAGGACGGACAGAGCGUUGAGCAGUGAGAUGCCUACAGCCUUUCUUCUAGUGACUGUAAUAAAUAGAAUUCAUUCGUGCUAACUAAA
Long non-coding RNA from Parus major (Great Tit), 4604 nucleotides. RefSeq lists it as uncharacterized. Lineage: Eukaryota; Metazoa; Chordata; Aves; Passeriformes; Paridae. The record is from RefSeq and is a predicted model, not a curated record. The transcript has 2 exons.